Molecule: ribosomal RNA, 558 nt
Filed under: uncultured bacterium
Lineage: Bacteria
Description: bacterial SSU rRNA
Rfam family: Bacterial small subunit ribosomal RNA
Source: RNAcentral
AAGCAAGUCGAACGGUAACAUUUCUAGCUUGCUAGAAGAUGACGAGUGGCGGACGGGUGAGUAAUGCUUGGGAACUUGCCUUUGCGAGGGGGAUAACAGUUGGAAACGACUGCUAAUACCGCAUAAUGUCUUCGGACCAAACGGGGCUUCGGCUCCGGCGCAAAGAGAGGCCCAAGUGAGAUAGCUAGUUGGUAAGGUAAUGGCUUACCAAGGCGACGAUCUCUAGCUGUUCUGAGAGGAAGAUCAGCCACACUGGGACUGAGACACGGCCCAGACUCCUACGGGAGGCAGCAGUGGGGAAUAUUGCACAAUGGGGGAAACCCUGAUGCAGCCAUGCCGCGUGUGUGAAGAAGGCCUUCGGGUUGUAAAGCACUUUCAGUUGUGAGGAAAAGUUAGUAGUUAAUACCUGCUAGCCGUGACGUUAACAACAGAAGAGGCACCGGCUAACUCCGUGCCAGCAGCCGCGGUAAUACGGAGGGUGCGAGCGUUAAUCGGAAUUACUGGGCGUAAAGCGCACGCAGGCGGUUUGUUAAGCUAGAUGUGAAAGCCCCGGGCUCA